CUCCUUCCAAUUUAGCUGACCAUGGGCCAGGUGUGCAGUGGUUGCAAACUCCUCGGUAGUGCAUGCAGCCCUGCUACUUGUUAGGAUUGCUCUGAGGAGCCUUGGAGACGGCC
Molecule: small nucleolar RNA, 113 nt
Organism: Otolemur garnettii (small-eared galago)
Lineage: Eukaryota; Metazoa; Chordata; Mammalia; Primates; Galagidae
Gene: SNORA70
Rfam family: Small nucleolar RNA SNORA70
About the family: snoRNA U70 seems to be exclusive to mammals and is a member of the H/ACA class of snoRNA which contain H (ANANNA) and ACA box motifs. H/ACA box snoRNAs are involved in the conversion of uridines to pseudouridines (5-ribosyluracil) a constituent of structural RNAs (transfer, ribosomal, small nuclear, and small nucleolar).
Source: Ensembl